RNAcentral lists this long non-coding RNA (640 nucleotides) under Bos indicus x Bos taurus (hybrid cattle). RNAcentral's name for it is "lncRNA (ENSBIXG00000024437.1)". Lineage: Eukaryota; Metazoa; Chordata; Mammalia; Artiodactyla; Bovidae. The record is from RNAcentral.
AAUCACUUUUGUAAUAUCAGCAUUGAUCUCAUCAGAAAAGACUCCAAGUCUUGGCACGCCACUGUCAAGCUCCCAAGGAGCUUGUGGGGACCUCACUUGAAGAACUGCUGAUUUAGGAAUUGUUAGUUAACUGCUGACUGAGGUGACUGAGGCAGUUAGUUUCUGUUAUGAUUACCUUUUCUAACCAGGAGUGAGUUAAAGAAUACAAGGUUUGUAAUUUUGUUUCCGUAUUUACUUUGUUAAAGGUCUGCCUUAAGGCUACUUCCCUCUCUGGGAUUGUGGGAGUCGUGUGUAUAUCCUUAACAUCUGUUGCUAUGCCUGGUGAAUAGCAAGUGGUCAAAAUACACCUGACUUGAUUUCUAUGAAUUUAGAGAAGCAAAUUCACAAUGAUAAGUCAUCAGGAUGACAGCAAGUACUGUCAGCAUUGGUGCUGGAUUGUACAGAAAUGAUGGUGGGGCUCCUUGGUUAAGGGAGUCCACUGUAGAAUCCGAUAUUGUAAUCAGAGCACACUGUUAUAUGUGGAAGUUGCUGAUAUUGGGGAUGUUCCAGUGUAAAAGGAGCUUCCUUCAGAGAUUGACAACCAAUUCAAGUAGUAAAGGAUGACGCAUCUCUGAACGUACUCAUCAUAAAUGCUAAUUAC